CCGGCUCCCGCUUCAGGGCUCAGGCACGCGCCCCCCAUCCCCUCUUCAUUUCCUUCCCCCUCCGCAGCGCGCGGCCAUUCACAAUCACAGGUGAGGUGCCCCCUCCUCUCCUCCCGUCCCACCUCCUCGCCUCUGCGCCACCACUUCUCUCGCGUGGCGAUGGCGGGGCGAGACUAGGGUUUCGUCGGCCACCCUCCCUCCGCGGCGGGAACCCCGCAAUCCUGAGCCCUACUAGCUCGGUCGUCGGCGAUCGAUCGCGCGCGCCUGAUCGUCGGCGGGAUUUUGCUCUCCGGUUCGGGGAUCGGCAGCAUGACGGGGUCGGGGGAAAAGGCGGCGGCCGGCGGGGGAUCGGAGAGGCGCAAGUACCCGAUCCACGUGGACGACUACGAGCUGUACGAGGAGAUCGGGCAGGGCGUCAGCGCCAUCGUGUACCGCGCGCUCUGCAAGCCGCUGGAUGAGGUCGUCGCCGUCAAGGUGCUCGACUUCGAGCGCACUAACAGCGAUCUGAACAACAUCAUGCGUGAAGCUCAGACUAUGAUUCUCAUAGACCACCCUAACGUUGUCAAGGCCCAUUGUUCAUUUACAAAGGAUCAAACGUUAUGGGUGAUCAUGCCAUACAUGGCUGGAGGGUCUUUUCUUCACAUAAUGAAAUCAGUCCAUCCUACUGGUUUCGAGGAAGCGGUCAUUGCCACGGUGCUUCGUGAAGUCCUGAGAGGUUUAGAGUAUCUUCACCAUCAUGGGCAUAUACAUCGAGAUGUGAAGGCAGGAAAUAUUCUAGUAGAUUCUCGGGGUGGAAUUAAGCUUGGGGAUUUUGGAGUCUCUGCUUGCCUUUUUGAUUCUGGUGAUAGGCAGAGGGCCAGGAAUACUUUUGUGGGAACUCCUUGCUGGAUGGCUCCCGAGGUUAUGGAGCAGCUACAUGGAUAUGAUUUCAGAGCAGACAUUUGGUCCUUUGGAAUUACUGCACUUGAACUUGCCCAUGGUCAUGCUCCUUUCUCAAAGUACCCCCCUAUGAAGGUCUUGCUUAUGACGCUUCAGAAUGCUCCUCCGGGUCUUGACUAUGAGAGAGAUAAGAAAUUCUCGAGGAACUUCAAGCAAAUGAUUGCUAUGUGUUUGGUAAAAGACCCUUCAAAGAGGCCUUCAGCAAAAAAGUUGUUGAAGCAACCCUUUUUCAAGCAAGCUCGUUCCUCCGAUUUCAUCACUCGAAAGCUUUUGGAAGGAUUACCUGGCCUUGGUGCCAGAUAUCAAGCUUUGAAGGAAAAGGAUGAAAGUUUAAUGGCUCAAAAGAAAAUGUCUGAUGGAAAGAAAGAAGAAAUCUCACAGGAUGAAUACAAAAGGGGUAUUAGCAGCUGGACCUUUGACAUGGAUGACCUGAGAUCCCAAGCUUCAUUGGGCACAGAAUGUGAAGACAGUAUAUCAUGCAAAGAUUCAGACGCAUCUUUCUUUGACUUGGACAGCUUGCAGGAGCAAGCACCAGAAGGGCCUAAUAUGUCAAGAGAUUUCUCAAUGAAGUAUGAUGUUGACAUGGAAAAUGAUGUUAUAACCAAUGAUAAGUCAAUUGUUUCAUCCCCUGAUCAGACUGCCUGCUUGUUAAGGAAUGCUUCUAUGCGUGGGAUGCCCAUAAAUGGACUUGUCAAGAAAGACAAUUGCAUGGAAAGCAAUGAUUUGGAAUGCCAAGAGAGACAUCCAGACAUUAUUCCAACUAGCUCACUCCAUGAAAGGAAAUUUUCUCUUAGUUCUUGUUCAUCAGAUGGACUCCUUUCAUCCAAAGAGAGCUCUAAACUGCAAAGUAACAUUCAUAACCGUGACAAGGGUAAUGGAGCGCCCUGGCAUGUAUCAGAUGACAUAUCUCCUGAUGCUGCUCCUAAGUUACAUAAAUCAGCAGAGGACCAUGACGAUAGAUCGAAACCUCCACUUAUAAGAGGUCGAUUUAAAGUUAUACCUGGGCAUGUUGACUUUGAUAAGGCUCAAUCACCUGGCCUACAAAAGUGUCACAGCAUGCAGACAAUUUCUCGCCUUCCAUCUUUAAGUAUCCCAUCUUCUGCAGAAGCAGCAUCAAGCAUUAUUGGUGGCUCCAUUUACAUGCAACUAUAUAGCGUUCUUCAGACAAAUAUGCUUCAGAGGGAGCAAAUACUUCACGCGAUGAAGCAGUUAAGUGGUUGUGACAUGGCUUCGCCAGGAGUACCUUCUAUGGCUUCACCGUGUAUCCCUUCCACAAGCCGCUCAACAUCUCCAUCAGCUUCAAUAUCAGUUGACAGAUCCAUGUCAUUGAUGAUGGUAAAUAACCGCGGCUAUUGUCCAGUUGGAAGCUGCACAUGAAAAGGAGAAAGAGCUAAUGAAUGAGAUAUUGGAGUUGCAAUGGCGGUUAUUGUGUACACAAGAUGAGGUGCAGAGGCUUAAAGCAAAGGCAGCGCAGAUCUGAUGCUCAAGCUGCGAAGGGAGCAAUUAAGGGCACGUCAUAUGAUUCGUGUCGAUUGCGAUUUUCAAGUGGCCUUUUAGCUUAGGAGGCAGUGAAAAUAAGGAUGGGACAUGCCCUAAUGUUGGCCCCAAAUAUAUGUGUAUGUGUUUCUGGAUGGCAUGGCGCUCUGUUUUUGCUGUAGCGCUGUUUCCCAUGCGGAGUGAAAGUAGUUGAACAUGCUAAAAUUUGUAAGUUUAUGUCGUUUUCCUUUUAAUAUUACGGUCAAAGCCAUUUGGUUGCUAGCAAA
RNA transcript from Panicum virgatum (switchgrass), 2702 nucleotides. It is a transcript of the gene named serine/threonine-protein kinase BLUS1-like, with no coding region annotated. Lineage: Eukaryota; Viridiplantae; Streptophyta; Magnoliopsida; Poales; Poaceae. The record is from RefSeq and is a predicted model, not a curated record. The transcript is spliced from 20 exons.